Molecule: small nuclear RNA, 184 nt
Filed under: Dermacentor silvarum
Lineage: Eukaryota; Metazoa; Arthropoda; Arachnida; Ixodida; Ixodidae
Description: U2 spliceosomal RNA
Rfam family: U2 spliceosomal RNA
About the family: U2 is a small nuclear RNA (snRNA) component of the spliceosome (involved in pre-mRNA splicing). Complementary binding between U2 snRNA (in an area lying towards the 5' end but 3' to hairpin I) and the branchpoint sequence (BPS) of the intron results the bulging out of an unpaired adenosine, on the BPS, which initiates a nucleophilic attack at the intronic 5' splice site, thus starting the first of two transesterification reactions that mediate splicing.
Source: RNAcentral
AGACAUGGACGACGGAGGUCAAAGUGUAGUAUCGGUUCAUAUCAGCUUAAUAUCUGAUGCGGGUUGUAUUUGGACCCAAGUUAUUCAAAUUUUUUUUGCACGUUGGCGGAGGGCUUGAAGCCUGCUUCACCUCCACCGCGGGUCGGCCCGGUAUCGCACUAUAUUCGGGAUCGGCCCAUGGGGA